GAGGUAAGAGGUACUACAGGGGUAGGAGUGAAAUCUUGUAAAUCCCUGUGGGACCACCUGUGGCGAAGGCGUCUUACCAGAACGGGUUCGACGGUGAGGGACGAAAGCUGGGGGCACGAACCGGAUUAGAUACCCGGGUAGUCCCAGCCGUAAACGAUGCUCGCUAGGUGUCAGGCCAUGGCGCGACCGUGUCUGGUGCCGCAGGGAAGCCGUGAAGCGAGCCACCUGGGAAGUACGGCCGCAAGGCUGAAACUUAAAGGAAUUGGCGGGGGAGCACAACAACGGGUGGAGCCUGCGGUUUAAUUGGACUCAACGCCGGACAACUCACCGGGGGCGACAGCAAUAUGUAGGCCAAGCUGAAGACUUUGCCUGAAUCGCUGAGGAGAGGAGGUGCAUGG
Molecule: ribosomal RNA, 398 nt
Filed under: uncultured archaeon
Lineage: Archaea
Description: bacterial SSU rRNA
Rfam family: Archaeal small subunit ribosomal RNA
Source: RNAcentral